CAAUGUGAAAUCAUCCCAGCAUUCCUCCAUUUUUUUGGCAGUGACUUAUCCACCUUUGGGUUAAUAUCCAUGGGGCUGGGACGCUAAGCUGGAUUGUGAUUGAAACCAAUCACUUUUAAAAGCAUUUUCUUUCUACUUGUUGCUCAAGAUUCAAAGUUCCUGGAAGGGAGAGGGGCUGGGAUACGUCAAACUUGAAAACAGUUACUGCUAUCUGAAAGUGGGGGCCCCUUCCUGCUCAUGUGAGCUGGAAGGGCAAAAGAGAAUGAUACAUAUGCUGUUUCCUUUUCCAGUUGUGAAGGGGUCAGGAAUUCAGCAAGGAGUGUCUGAACAAGUGUUGCAUUCUCCUGGGUCCUUAGUCUCUUCCCUGCCUUUCUGGCCGCUCUGUUUAAUCCAGCCGGCGAUUCUGAACAGGGGGAAAAAUCUGUCAGCACAAAUAAGGCAUUUCUGAAGGCGUAAAUUAUGAGUGAACAAAACAAUGUGACACCACCGCCAUGUUCAGACAGGAUGUUCCUGUAUCCUGUUUCAGUUUGCAUCAUGGUAAAUGUGAUCCACAGUGUUUAAAGAAACAAAAUAAGAACCAAAUUCAAUUAAAGGAGAAGCCUUCUGGUGACUACAAACACAAGUUCAGUGCAUUAUUUCCAUGCAGGCCUGUUUUGUUUUCCUGGCACAAAUUGAGAAGCUUUGGCACCAGUCAGUUUCUAAUCAAGGAGACGUUAACGUUCAAUGUGUACAGAGGUCCUGCACAGCACAGACAACAGAUGUUUAACAGAGAGGGACUGUGUCUGGCAAAACAAAGUUGUAUGGCUUCAUAAGCAGCAUGAAAAGUACUGAGGCUGAUGCAAAUAUCCAUAAAGCAUCAGCAAUACAUCAGACGAAUAUUAUUCUAAUUUUUUGAUACCGGCUCGGGAUGCCAGAUAACAGCUGUUUUGUGAGAUGGAUAGAAUAGGGUUGGGUAACCUAAUUACUAGGGUGCUCUGGUGAUCCUCUUGCACUGAUUGAUGAAUGAUAAGGGAUUUUUACUCAGUCUUUCUUUGUAUACAAGUAUAUUCUUGGUGGUCCUGAAAGAGCAUAACAAAAAGAGGAAUGUUUCCAUUUUAAAAUUCCCAGCUUUAUGAACUUAGAGAAUUUAUUUUCCUCCCGUAUUCCUUUGCCUCUCUUCUUCUGAUCAUGGCUCCUUUACAUGCCAUGCAGUGAAGCCAUUAUUGACCUGCUGUGAACAUCCCUGCAAUGGUGCUUUUUAUCUGCAUCAGUUUAUCAGUAAUCUCAUGCUUAUUUUUAUUAUACUCAGCCCAUGAGAUUUCCCCAUAUCCCUCCCGCACCCCCUAGGAAGGCAGUGGGUGUGGACAGUCACCAUGUGGAUUGUUGUUAGAAAACCUAACCUGGACUCUGGAGAUUUCCAGUUCCACGGUAGAGCCUGGGCCUGCUAAACUUUUUCAGGUGAGUUGAAGGACAAAGCCGUGGCUGGGAUGAUUUAGUUGGGGAUUGGGAGCAGGGGGUCAGACUAGAUGACUUCCUGAGGUCCCUUCCAACCCUGAUAGUCUAUGAUUCUGUGACUGCUUGUGUGAGUGAGAAUUACUCGCAGGAAUAAGGGUUUGCAGAAUGGGGGACCAAUCCUGCAAGCUGCUGAACUCUGUCCGUUCCCAUCUCCUUCACCGGGAGCUGAAGGUGUUCAACAGCUUGGAGAGGAGGCCCUCAGCAGGGACAGGCCUUUGAGCACCAGCCUGUGUGUAUGCUUCUCAGGGUGUAGCCUCUAAUGCCCCACGUUGGCUGUCUGGAGCAGCAGAAAGGGGAGAACAACCUCUAUGAAGCUAUUUCCUAUCCUAUGCUGAUGGGUGUAGAGUGACUGGAGCUUUGGUGCUACCAAUGCAAGGCACCAUCCAGCACAGAUUGGAGGAGGAAGUACUAGCGAAAGGGCUAGUGCCUGACCUCCCUUCUGGAGCCAGGGGAAACUCAAGGACCAGAGUCACCAGCUGGUCUCUUGCAUUGCCCUUCAUUCGGGGCUUGUGGCAAAGCCACAGUCAGUCCCUGAGGAACCUUCAUUGGACAAUCUGCUGACUUGGACAUAAACUUGCUUUCGUUGCCUCUCAUUAGUGGAGGCCCUGUCUGGAACAGUAAGUUUUGAAUAAGAAUGGAGGCUACUGAUUGAGGAAAUGUACUUCUCUACUAAGUACUGAGUAUUUAAUGAGUCAGGAACCGUGGUGGAUUACACUGACCCCAUUUUUUAAAAGAGAAGGCCCAAAAUGUACCCACAAAUGCACGUGAAAUUGAGCGCCUGUGUUUGUGUGCAGAAGAGAAGGGGGAUUUGAUAGCAGCUUUCAACUACCUGACGGGAGCUUCCAAAAAGGAUGGAGCUCGGCUGUUCUCAUUGAUGGCAGAUGACAGAACAAGGAGCAAUGGUCUCAAGUUGCGGUGGGGGAGGUCUAGGUUGGAUAUUAGGAAACACUAUUUCACUAAAAGAGUGGUGAAGCACUGGAAUGGGUUACCUAGGGAGGUGGCGGAAUCUCCAUCCUUAGAAGUUUUUAAGCCCUGGCUUGACAAAGCCCUGGCUGGGAUGAUUUAGUGGGGAAUUGGUCCUGCUUUGAGCAGGGGGUUGGACUAGAUACCUCCUGAGGUCUCUUCCAACCCUAAUCUUCUAUGAUUCCCAUGACUCUGCAUGCAAAUUGAAUAUACUUAGUCCAUUCUAUGCAGGCUCUUAUAUCGUGCCCAUCUUCAUAGGUAUCUAUAUGGAAAUGUG
This 2734-nucleotide long non-coding RNA is filed under the name Gopherus evgoodei (Goodes thornscrub tortoise). RNAcentral's name for it is "lncRNA (ENSGEVG00005015665.1)". Lineage: Eukaryota; Metazoa; Chordata; Testudines; Testudinidae. The record is from RNAcentral.